CAGUAGUUUAAUCUAACCUCCCCAACAACCCCAUACCAUUCCCUUUGUGAAGUGCCUUGAGACGACAUGUGUUGUGAAUUGGCACUAUUAAAAGCAGAAAGUUGAAAGUCAUCCAGAGUUGUUUGUUUUUAUCUGUCGACUUAAACAUCCUUGUGGAAUUUUAAUUUAAAAGACUUGGAUCAGCUACUUUAAGCGUCCUAACUGGGAGUUGGGCUGCUGUUGGCAGCUUUCAGUGAGAUCAUGGACUGUACAAUCUGUCACAAAACCUAUGAGGGACUAGACAGAAAAUAAGAGACACGGGCAUGCAGAUCAAUGAUUUCAUUGUCUCUAUUGCCCAGUCCACAAGGAUUUUGCUUCUACAGAGAUUUUUAGAUUUCUCAGAAGGAUUCAUAGAUUUUUAGAUUUCUUAGCAUUUGAUUUGUUUUUCUGUGUUCUUUGUGAUUGUAUUGUAAUUGUAUGUACAGCGCUUUGAGUGUCUCGUUACUGAAAAGCGCUAUAUAAAUAAACUUACCUUACCUUACAGGCCUCCCUGCUUACCCCUCUGGUCCUGUCACCCUCUUCCUGCCCAUUACAGGCUGGUGCAUCAGACAAUGACCAUUCUAACCUCGAUCACAUCAAGCGGCCUCCCAGCUAACGGCCUUGGAAGAGCACCUGCCAAAUAAUCAGCUCACCCAUGGAGGAAAACAGGAAAAACUGUGUCUUGCAAAACUAUUCACACCCCUUUAUAUUGUGUCAUUUCCAACCACAAACAUUUAAAGGCAUUUCAUGUGACAGACCAACAUAAAAUCAUUUAAAAUGAUGAAGUAGAAGGAAACUCAUAACAUUUUUUAACAAAACAAUCUGAGAUUUAUAUUCAACCCUACUCCUUAGUCAAUACUAUGUAGAGCCACCUUUCUCUGCAGUUCCAGCAGCUUUAACCAUCUAUAUACUUUUUUGACAUUUUUGCUCAUUCUUCUUUCAAAAUAGCUUAAGCUCAGUCAGACUGGAUGGAGAUCAUCUCUGAAGAUCAGUUCUCAAGUCUUGCCACAUAUUUUCACUUGUAUUUAGGCCUGGACUUUGACCGGGCCAUGCUAACACAUAAAUAUUGCGUUGACCGAAAUCAUUGGCUGUAUGUUUAGGGCUGUUGUCCUGCUGGAAGGUGAACCUCCACCUGCAGCCUCUAACAGGUUUCAUCUAGGAUACUCCAUCUACCUUUUCCCUUCUGAAAUAAAGCAUGAUGUUGCAUCUCCAUGGAGAUGGUGUUUUCAUGGUGGAAAAGUGAACAUGAAAAAGUUGAUUACCUGUUCUUGGCACUGUAAGGAGCUUUCCAGUCCACUGUGGCCCUGACCAGUGCUGGUGUCACUGUCCAUGAUGAUGCAGCCAGCUAGUCUGCCACCAUUUUUAAGUAGAAGAAAUCCAUUAUUCAAAGAUGCUACAGCAGAAAAUAGUUAUUUUUCAAACAUGAGUGCUUCAGUAGCUGCUUAACGUAAAAAGUGUUUUGUAUAGAACUGACUGAGGUUUAUCACUGAAGUAAACACCAUAUAGAUCAGUAAAACCACCUGGAAACUGUUGCAUAUGAUGUUCAGGAGCUGCUAAAAGAGGCUCUGCUGAAGUUUGCAGAUAUAAAAAAUGUAUUUAAUCACUUUAGACUUCAAUGUCAAUAAUCUACCAGCAGAUGAAUUUUAAUGAAGCAUGCAGCUAUGAUACCUGUGGCUACAAAACGCUUUGUAGAAAUACAAUCCAGUCUUUUAAAGCAUGGAUGGCGAGCCUGCAGACCACUGAAGCCCCUGAUGAACAGCUACUGAUGGAGAAACGCAUCUGGACACAGCAGCCACCAUCCCGCAAACAGCUUACAAGAGUCUUUUUAAACUAUGACCUCUAGAGGCUACAUGUGGUGGGGAAUUAAACUCCUGCAUCCCGGCAGAACGGACGAAGAUCAGGACGCCUCUCCGAACGACUCCGGAGUGAAUCAGACCAACUAACUAACUGAGAGGAGAUGACAGCUGGAGCUCAAUACGGAGAACUUUAGCAGAUGCUACAUGUGGUGGGGAAUUAAACUCCUGCAUCCCGGCAGAACGGACGGAGAUCGGGACGCCUCUCCGAACGAGCUCCGGAGUGAAUCAGACCAACUAACUAACUGAGAGGAGAUGACAGCUGGAGCUCUAUACGGAGAACUUUAGCAGGUAGGCUAACUUUAACCUGUCAGUUUCAUUCUACAACAUGGAGAAUUGUUUAUAGAUUACUUAUGAAGACGAACGAUCUCCAUAAGUAACUUAUAAUGGCAUGUUACAUGUUACAUGUUAAACUCAUGUCUUCAAUCGGCAAAGUGAAAUUUCUGGCCUUCUUAUUCCAGAAACCUCUUUCAUGAAUUUUUCUUUUCCGUUGGCCAACAUGGAGAAUUAAUUAAAUCCACGUGGGACCUCUUCUCCAGAAUGAUGCGCUUCAGUUGCUGGUCCGGUUUCCAGCGUGAAAAGCAAAUGGUGGGCUAACUCAUACUCUGUUAUAUAGUUGGUAGUGGCCUUAGAGCUGUAACGCCCUCGUCCUAUCAGUGGCCACUGGGAUUUGUAGUAAUGGACUGUCCUGGGAUACAAAAUGGCCGCAAACAUCGGAAGGCCUGGUAGCGUCCAGCAACGUGGAAAUGGUCCAAUAUUCAGCAAACAAGUGGUCCAACAUUCCCCCCUAGGUUCAAAGGGUGAGAUGAAUGGCAGUCUUUGAAGCUACUGGGACCAUUCUGUCCUUAGCUGAACAUUCAGUGAUCCGUGGUGAAGUAAAACAAAACAAAAUGUCUCUGUGUUCCUCAAAAGCCUAUGAUUGGGCAGGAUAGAAGUUAGCCUGGGCAGGGCUAAACUCUGACUAACUAA
Long non-coding RNA from Girardinichthys multiradiatus, 2840 nucleotides. RefSeq lists it as uncharacterized. Lineage: Eukaryota; Metazoa; Chordata; Actinopteri; Cyprinodontiformes; Goodeidae. The transcript is spliced from 2 exons. The record is from RefSeq and is a predicted model, not a curated record.